GCUACGGACUUAAAAUCCGUCGACUUUAAAAAUCGUGAGGGUUCAAGUC
This 49-nucleotide transfer RNA is filed under the name Solanum tuberosum (potato). Its description in RNAcentral is "partial tRNA-Leu". The record is from RNAcentral. Lineage: Eukaryota; Viridiplantae; Streptophyta; Magnoliopsida; Solanales; Solanaceae. RNAcentral also lists the same sequence under 1 other name.